RNAcentral lists this long non-coding RNA (696 nucleotides) under Nothobranchius furzeri (turquoise killifish). Its description in RNAcentral is "lncRNA (ENSNFUG00015014417.1)". The record is from RNAcentral. Lineage: Eukaryota; Metazoa; Chordata; Actinopteri; Cyprinodontiformes; Nothobranchiidae.
GUCAAAACCUCCCAAACACACAAGAGGAAAAUCUAGCGGCGAGUGGAAAUGAUGGUUUCCUGGUUGCAAACACGGUCCGCCGACACUACUGACAGGACAAUCAAGGCAAAGGAAUCACCUUCCCUCAUUAUUUUCCAUCUUUUACAAACUCCAAAUUCUCAUUAUGUUCUGGACCGAAGACAAGCUUGGACCAAAAACAGAAACAUGUCACAAUUAGCUUUGGUUUUCAUCGUGCACAUGUUAUUGGGUUGUUCCUGAGCCCUCAGGACACCACAGAAGCCCCAACCAGGAGUCACGAGGGUGCACUAGAGGGCUUUUCAGGAAUCUUCCGCCCAGCAGGACCUGGGAGACACAAGGAAUGACAUCAGAGAGGAGGAAGCGAGGAGGAGGAAAAGAGAGGAGAGGAGAGAGAGGGAGGACAAAUUCUUCAAUCAGUUACAACUCUGGAAAGAAACAAGCAGAAGGACUUCUGGACCAUCUCAAAGAAGGAGGAAAAACCCCUGGAGUCCAAAACGGAAAGAGGAAAACAUCAUGGCCCAUCCGACUGAAACAGAGUGACGGAAUUGGAGGGAAGACUUUCUGUCCCACGGACCAACCCAUGCUUCAUCUUUAGAAGAAAGUUUAAGAAACAACAAACUCCGGAUCAGUCAGACCACAGUUUUCCCUUCCCUUAUUCUCCCCCACCAAUCACUGCAC